AGCGAACGCUGGCGGCAGGCUUAACACAUGCAAGUCGAGCGGGCAUCUUCGGAUGUCAGCGGCAGACGGGUGAGUAACACGUGGGAACGUACCCUUCGGUUCGGAACAACUCUGGGAAACUGGAGCUAAUACCGGAUACGCCCUUAUGGGGAAAGGUUUACUGCCGAAGGAUCGGCCCGCGUCUGAUUAGCUAGUUGGUGGGGUAACGGCCUACCAAGGCGACGAUCAGUAGCUGGUCUGAGAGGAUGAUCAGCCACACUGGGACUGAGACACGGCCCAGACUCCUACGGGAGGCAGCAGUGGGGAAUAUUGGACAAUGGGCGCAAGCCUGAUCCAGCCAUGCCGCGUGAGUGAUGAAGGCCUUAGGGUUGUAAAGCUCUUUUGUCCGGGACGAUAAUGACGGUACCGGAAGUAUAAGCCCCGGCUAACUUCGUG
RNAcentral lists this ribosomal RNA (435 nucleotides) under uncultured bacterium. Its description in RNAcentral is "partial 16S ribosomal RNA". It matches the Rfam family "Bacterial small subunit ribosomal RNA", at positions 29 to 507 of the family's 1533-position model. The record is from RNAcentral.